AUUGAACGCUGGCGGCAGGCCUAACACAUGCAAGUCGAACGAGUGGCGGACGGGUGAGUAAUGUCUGGGGAUCUGCCUGAUGGAGGGGGAUAACUACUGGAAACGGUGGCUAAUACCGCAUACUAUCGGAUGAACCCAUAUGGGAUUAGCUAGUAGGUGGGGUAAAGGCUCACCUAGGCGACGAUCUCUAGCGGGUCUGAGAGGAUGACCAGCCACACUGGAACUGAGACACGGCCCAGACUCCAACGGGAGGCAGCAGUGGGGAAUAUUGCACAAUGGGCGCAAGCCUGAUGCAGCCAUGCCGCGUGUAUGAAGAAGGCCUUCGGGUUGUAAAGUACUUUCAGCGGGGAGGCGUUACCCGCAGAAGAAGCACCGGCUAACUCCGUGCCAGCAGCCGCGGUAAUAC
RNAcentral lists this ribosomal RNA (406 nucleotides) under uncultured bacterium. RNAcentral describes it as "partial 16S ribosomal RNA". It matches the Rfam family "Bacterial small subunit ribosomal RNA", at positions 30 to 526 of the family's 1533-position model. The record is from RNAcentral.